This 538-nucleotide ribosomal RNA is filed under the name uncultured bacterium. Its description in RNAcentral is "bacterial SSU rRNA". It matches the Rfam family "Bacterial small subunit ribosomal RNA", at positions 358 to 916 of the family's 1533-position model. The record is from RNAcentral.
GGAAUCUUGCACAAUGGAGGAAACUCUGACGCAGCGAUGCCGCGUGAGUGAAGAAGGCCUUUGGGUUGUAAAGCUCUUUUGUAGGGGAAGAUAAUGACUGUACCCUAAGAAUAAGGUCCGGCUAACUUCGUGCCAGCAGCCGCGGUAAUACGAAGGGACCUAGCGUAGUUCGGAAUUACUGGGCGUAAAGCGCGCGUAGGCCGUUGAGUUAGUUAAUUGUGAAAUCCCAAAGCUUAACUUUGGAACUGCAAUUAAAACUGCUCGACUAGAGUUUGAUAGAGGAAAGCGGAAUACAUAGUGUAGAGGUGAAAUUCGUAGAUAUUAUGUAGAACACCAGUUGCGAAGGCGGCUUUCUGGAUCAACACUGACGCUGAGGCGCGAAAGUAUGGGUAGCAAAGAGGAUUAGAUACCCUCGUAGUCCAUACCACAAACGAUGAUUGCUAGAUGUUGGAAAUUUAUUUUCAGUAUCGCAGCUAACGCAUUAAGCAAUCCGCCUGGGGAGUACGACCGCAAGGUUAAAACUCAAAUGAAUUGACGG